UCAGGGUGUGGCUGAGUUAGUCAAGCAUCUCACUUACACCGAGAAGACACCCA
RNAcentral lists this transfer RNA (53 nucleotides) under Ptychocheilus oregonensis (northern pikeminnow). RNAcentral describes it as "tRNA-Val". Lineage: Eukaryota; Metazoa; Chordata; Actinopteri; Cypriniformes; Leuciscidae. The record is from RNAcentral.